AGUAACGCGUAGGAAUCUACCUGGUAGUGGGGGACAACAUGGUGAAAACCAUGCUAAUACCGCAUACGCCCUAAGGGGGAAAGCGGGGGAUCUUCGGACCUCGCGCUAUCAGAUGAGCCUGCGUAGGAUUAGCUUGUUGGUGAGGUAAAGGCUCACCAAGGCGACGAUCCUUAGCUGGUCUGAGAGGAUGAUCAGCCACACUGGAACUGAGACACGGUCCAG
This 222-nucleotide ribosomal RNA is filed under the name uncultured bacterium. RNAcentral's name for it is "partial 16S ribosomal RNA". It matches the Rfam family "Bacterial small subunit ribosomal RNA", at positions 109 to 334 of the family's 1533-position model. The record is from RNAcentral.